GAAAGUAAGCAAGGGCGCAUGGCGGAUGCCUUGGCUCUCGGAGGCGAUGAAGGACGUGAUAAGCUGCGAUAAGCUUCGGGCAGGUGCAAAUAACCUUUGAUCCGAAGAUUUCCGAAUGGGACAACCCGUCAUUCUGAAGGAAUGACAUCUUGCAUAGCAAGAGGCUAACGCAGGGAACUGAAACAUCUUAGUACCUGUAGGAAAAGAAAAUAAUAAUGAUUCCCCUAGUAGUGGCGAGCGAACGGGGAUUAGCCCAAACCAAUGUUGUUACGGCAAUAUUGGGGUUGUAGGACCACGAUGUCGCAAGAAAUUUAGUGAGAAGAACCCUUUGGAAAAUGGGACCAUAGACGGUGAUAGUCCGGUAUUCGAAGCUAAAUGAAGCGUAGUGGUAUCCUGAGUAGCGCGGGACACGAGGAAUCUUGCGUGAAUCUGCCGGGACCAUCCGGUAAGGCUAAAUACUCCCGAGAGACCGAUAGCGAACCAGUACUGUGAAGGAAAGGUGAAAAGCACUUCGAAUAGAAGAGUGAAAUAGUCCCUGAAACCGUGCGCCUACAAGCGGUCGGAGCUGCUUCAGCAGUGACGGCGUGCCUUUUGCAUAAUGAACCUACGAGUUACUUUUUCCGGCAAGGUUAAGGAUCUUGAGAUCCGCAGCCGAAGCGAAAGCGAGUCUUAACAGGGCGAUUAGUCGGAAGGAGUAGACGCGAAACCAAGUGAUCUACCCUUGGUCAGGUUGAAGGUUAGGUAACACUAACUGGAGGACCGAACCGAUAAGCGUUGAAAAGCUUCCGGAUGAACUGAGGGUGGGGGUGAAAGGCUAAUCAAACUUGGAGAUAGCUCGUACUCCCCGAAAUGCAUUUAGGUGCAGCCUUGGGAAUUACUACUGUGAGGUAGAGCGACUGAUAAGAUGCGAGGGCUUCACCGCCUAUCAAGUCUUGAUAAACUCCGAAUGCGCAGUAGUUCGAUCCCAGGAGUGAGGGCAUGGGUGCUAAGGUCCAUGUCCUAAAGGAGAAGAAUCCGGACCAUCAGCUAAGGUCCCGAAAUAAUUGCUAAGUUGAACUAACGAAGUCAGAUUGCUAAGACAGCUAGGAUGUUGGCUUGGAAGCAGCCAUUCAUUUAAAGAGUGCGUAACAGCUCACUAGUCGAGGAGUUUGGCGUGGAUAAUAAUCGGGCAUUAAGCAAUUUACCGAAGCUAUGGGAUCCGUAAGGAUCGGUAGGGGAGCAUUCCACUCUGCGUCGAAGGUGAAGCGUGAGCUUUGCUGGAGCGUGUGGAAAAGCAAAUGUAGGUAUAAGUAACGAUAAAGGGGGUGAGAAACCCCCUCGCCGAAAGACUAAGGUUUCCUGAUCAACGCUAAUCGGAUCAGGGUUAGUCGGGUCCUAAGGCUCAGCCGAACGGUGAGGCCGAUGGCAGAACAGGUUAAUAUUCCUGUACUACCUUAAGGAGUGACGUGGAGACGGAGGAGUGACAGCGCCGCGGACUGACGGAAUAGUCCGUUGAAGGGUGUAGAUGUUGAUUAUCCCAGGCAAAUCCGGGAUAAGAGUCGAACCUGAUAGUAUACCAAAUUCUUCGGAAUAAGGUAAUAGUGCGUGUAAGCAUACUCCCAAGAAAAUCCGCUAAACUUAAUCUUUAAGGUACCCGUACCGCAAACGGACACACGUAGUCGGGUUGAAUAUACUAAGGCGCUUGAGUGAUUCACGGUUAAGGAACUAGGCAAAUUGACCCUGUAACUUCGGGAUAAAGGGUCCCAACGAGAGUUGGGCGCAGAGAAUAGGUCCAGGCAACUGUUUAACAAAAACACAGGGCUGUGCCAAAUUGAAAGAUUACGUAUACAGCCUGACACCUGCCCGGUGCUGGAAGGUUAAGAGGAGAUGUCAUCGCAAGAGAAGCAUUGAAUUGAAGCCCCAGUAAACGGCGGCCGUAACUAUAACGGUCCUAAGGUAGCGAAAUUCCUUGUCGGGUAAGUUCCGACCUGCACGAAUGGUGUAAUGAUCUGGACACUGUCUCAACCGUGAGCUCAGUGAAAUUGUAGUAUCGGUGAAGAUGCCGAUUACCCGCGAUGGGACGAAAAGACCCCGUGAACCUUUACUAUAGCUUAACAUUGAAUUUGGGUAAUUGAUGUGUAGGAUAGGCCGGAGACUUUGAAUCAGGUACGCCAGUAUUUGUGGAGUCGCUGUUGAAAUACGGCCCUUUGAUUAUUUGAGUUCUAACUCGUAGAUGCGAGGACACUGUUUGGUGGGUAGUUUGACUGGGGUGGUCGCCUCCAAAAGUGUAACGGAGGCUUCUAAAGGUGCCCUCAGGACGAUUGGUAACCGUCCGUAGAGUGUAAUGGCAUAAGGGCGCUUGACUGGGAGACAGACAAGUCGAUCAGGUAGGAAACUAGAGCAUAGUGAUCCGGUGUUUCCGCAUGGAAGGGACAUCGCUCAAAGGAUAAAAGGUACUCCGGGGAUAACAGGCUGAUCCCUCCCAAGAGCUCAUAUCGACGGAGGGGUUUGGCACCUCGAUGUCGGCUCGUCACAUCCUGGGGCUGGAGAAGGUCCCAAGGGUUGGGCUGUUCGCCCAUUAAAGUGGCACGCGAGCUGGGUUCAGAACGUCGUGAGACAGUUCGGUCUCUAUCUAUCG
This 2617-nucleotide ribosomal RNA is filed under the name gut metagenome. Its description in RNAcentral is "bacterial LSU rRNA". It matches the Rfam family "Bacterial large subunit ribosomal RNA". The record is from RNAcentral.